Molecule: non-coding RNA, 184 nt
Organism: Styela clava
Lineage: Eukaryota; Metazoa; Chordata; Ascidiacea; Stolidobranchia; Styelidae
Source: RefSeq, a predicted model, not a curated record
UCCCUAAUCUCCUGUCAAAUUCUGCUUUGGGCGGCGAAGACAAGGACGAAGAAGAUGUUACAUUCGAAGACGAUGAUAUCCUUAGUCUUCUGUCAGAGAAGGCUAAUUCUGCAUUGGACGGUGAAGACAAGGACGAAGAGGAUGUUACAUUUGAAGACGAUGAUAUCCUUCGUCUUCUGUCGGA